RNAcentral lists this ribosomal RNA (236 nucleotides) under uncultured Staphylococcus sp. RNAcentral's name for it is "partial 16S ribosomal RNA". It matches the Rfam family "Bacterial small subunit ribosomal RNA", at positions 104 to 334 of the family's 1533-position model. Lineage: Bacteria; Bacillati; Bacillota; Bacilli; Caryophanales; Staphylococcaceae. The record is from RNAcentral.
GGGUGAGUAACACGUGGAUAACCUACCUAUAAGACUGGGAUAACUUCGGGAAACCGGAGCUAAUACCGGAUAAUAUUUUGAGCCGCAUGGUUCAAAAGUGAAAGACGGUCUUGCUGUCACUUAUAGAUGGAUCCGCGCUGCAUUAGCUAGUUGGUAAGGUAACGGCUUACCAAGGCAACGAUGCAUAGCCGACCUGAGAGGGUGAUCGGCCACACUGGAACUGAGACACGGUCCAG